AGGAGGGAUGUGAUUGGCCGAAGCAGAGAGGAGAGGUUCUCGGCUGUCGCGAGGCGAGUUGAUUCCGCGCCACUUCGUUUCCGACUCGUGUACGCGUACGACGUGCUCAGAGGACUAUCUCUCAGAACAAAUCCUUCGAUUUUCUUUUGUCUGCUAAAGGGAUACUGUCAAAAGUAAAUUGACAGAUUACGGUCAGACCACUAUACAGUAAAACGAGUGGGUGCAGCAUGAUUACGUAAG
Bombus impatiens (common eastern bumble bee) is the source of this 240-nucleotide long non-coding RNA. RefSeq lists it as uncharacterized. The record is from RefSeq and is a predicted model, not a curated record. NCBI's taxonomy places the organism in Eukaryota, Metazoa, Arthropoda, Insecta, Hymenoptera, Apidae. The transcript has 2 exons.